GAUGAACGCUGGCGGCGUGCCUAAUACAUGCAAGUCGAGCGAACAGACGAGGAGCUUGCUCCUCUGACGUUAGCGGCGGACGGGUGAGUAACACGUGGAUAACCUACCUAUAAGACUGGGAUAACUUCGGGAAACCGGAGCUAAUACCGGAUAAUAUAUUGAACCGCAUGGUUCAAUAGUGAAAGACGGUUUUGCUGUCACUUAUAGAUGGAUCCGCGCCGCAUUAGCUAGUUGGUAAGGUAACGGCUUACCAAGGCAACGAUGCGUAGCCGACCUGAGAGGGUGGUCGGCCACACUGGAACUGAGCCACGGUCCAGGCUCCUACGGGAGGCAGCAGUAGGGAAUCUUCCGCAAUGGGCGGAAGCUUGACGGAGCAACGCCGCGUGAGUGAUGAAGGUCUUCGGAUCGUAAAACUCUGUUAUUAGGGAAGAACAAAUGUGUAAGUAACUAUGCACGUCUUGACGGUACCUAAUCAGAAAGCCACGGCUAACUACGUG
RNAcentral lists this ribosomal RNA (497 nucleotides) under uncultured bacterium. RNAcentral describes it as "partial 16S ribosomal RNA". It matches the Rfam family "Bacterial small subunit ribosomal RNA", at positions 28 to 507 of the family's 1533-position model. The record is from RNAcentral.